GACAGUCCGGAAACUACAUUUCCCAGAGUGCCUAGCGCGUUGACGCAGGCGCCAAGAGCCUCCUCUGGUUUCCAUGGGAACCUCGCCCCUCAAAGGCCCGGCAGUUCGACUGUGGAGCGCGAAGCUGUCGCUCCCCCUCAGGUGCCCCGGCGUUAGACCAGAUGUGGAAGGUGCAGGACUUCUAGGAGCCACAAAAGCUCCUUUUCCUGGCGAUGCAACCCCAGGUGAGCUGUUACACCACCUUCCUGACAGUCUGUGCUCUCCCUCCUGGAGCCCUGCUCUUUUUCUCCAGUUUGCUCCCACUCCACUGGCUGCAAGUAAGUGCCUGCCAGGGAUAAAGACGAUAGUGGGCCAGACCUGGACGGUGACGCCUCCCUCUGGAACAGCAUCAGAGCCCAUGCUCCCCACUCCUUUCCUGGUGCCCCCAGAGAAAGGGAUGCUCUGCCAGCCCUGCCACAGCCCCUCCAGCCUGUAGGUCAGAGCAGGCGAACUGGUAUCCCCAGGGAAGGCUCUCCAGAUGCCCCAACAACACCAUGUCCCAGGCAGCUGAAGGUUUGGGACUGUAGGGGCACUGGCCUCUGGGUGUCCUGGAUUCCUAAACCAGGAAGGCUUCUGGUCUGAUGCCCUUCUGAUGGGUGAGCAGGAGUAUGGUGGUAGAGAAGCCCACUGAGAAUCCUGUGAGGGCACACGCAAGAUGGAGGUAGUGGGACACAGCAAUAAUCAUCAUGGCAAGACUGACAGUGAGUGCUAAGAGCUGUAUAAACACUAAAUUAAUCCUCACAACAGCCCUUUCCUUCCCCCAAUUUACAGAUGAGUAAACUGAGGCUCAGAGAAUAUCAGCAACGUGUCUACUUGCACAAAACCUAAAAGUGAUGAACCCAGGAUUCAGAUCUAGACAGGCUAGUGCCUAGAAUCCCAUUGUCCACCUCAAUAGACAACCUGAGUCCAAAUCUUGUAACCACUUUGAAUGUUAUGCUCUUCAGUCAUUCAAUAUAUGCUUAAGCCACCGAUAUGUGCCGAGCUUGCCCGCCCUAACUGCUGAUAAAUGCUGGGGAAUGAGAAAGGCCUGGGCCUGCCUACAGGCACCAGUGGCACCUGGUGAACCACUCACAGGUGGGCAAGUAGUGCCCUGCCGACAGCUCAGAGCUGCCUCGCCCCCUUGGUCAUCCCAGCGGAACCACACGUUUGGAUCACAUCAGAGCCUGGCAUGGGCUGUCCCUUUAAUCUGUCCUCUCCGGUGCAGUGGAAGCCCAGGGCAGUGGGGAUUUGUAUCCUGUACUCUGUUCCUGAGCUUAGAAAUGUGUUUCUGAAUUAAAUGAAUUACUGAGCUCUGAGGAUUCCUGCGACUUCAAACCUAACCAGUUGGGUGAGAAGUAGUGGUUGAACUGAAAUUUCCCGACAGAUAAUUAUUUUUAAAGUUUGAAAUGGGCCCUGGCCAGUUCGGUCAGUGGUUAGAGCAUCGGCCCUAGGACUGAAGGGUCGAGGGGUUGAUUCCUGGCACGUAUCUCAGGUUGCAGGUUCCCUGGCCCC
Myotis brandtii (Brandt's bat) is the source of this 1530-nucleotide long non-coding RNA. RefSeq lists it as uncharacterized. Lineage: Eukaryota; Metazoa; Chordata; Mammalia; Chiroptera; Vespertilionidae. The record is from RefSeq and is a predicted model, not a curated record. The transcript has 5 exons.